UGCUUGGGCUGUGCGUUGGUAGAUCACUAUGUCAGUCAGUUAUUGUAUCGUCCCCAAAAGAAUUCGCUCUCGUCAUGGAAGUGCAUUGUUAUAAGAUUCUCUAUGACGAUAUUUGUAACGCUGUUAUAUGUAUGUAAGCUGUGGAAUUAUUUAUCAGUAACGUUUUCAAAGAGCAGUUAUGAGUGGAAAAUAAUAUUGGAAAUUAAUGCACACAGCCUGAUAUACGCUAUUAUAAUGGUAAUAAGCGCUCAAUAUGCUUCCAUCGUGAUGUUAAUAUACAUCGCUCUUCUUGAUGUAAACACAGGUCUUACGGAGUUAC
Molecule: long non-coding RNA, 319 nt
Filed under: Zerene cesonia (dogface butterfly)
Lineage: Eukaryota; Metazoa; Arthropoda; Insecta; Lepidoptera; Pieridae
Description: uncharacterized LOC119835142, transcript variant X1
Source: RNAcentral